GUUAUUGAAAAAUUACGAGCUUGUUAUUAACUAUCAUCCGGGAAAUGCGAAUGUGGUUUCGAUGCUUUGAGCAGAAAGUUGCUAUUUGCUUUGAGAGCUAUGAAUAUUCAGUUAAAGGAAUCAGAUGAUGGUUCGAUUUUAGCAAAUUUAAGAGCAAGACCGAUGUUUUUACAAGAGAUUUGUGAAGCUCAGAAAAGCGAUGAAGAUUUGCAAGCCAAAAGAAAACAAUGUGAGGUUGAUUCGAGGUUAGAUUUUAG
This 257-nucleotide long non-coding RNA is filed under the name Gossypium barbadense (sea-island cotton). RNAcentral's name for it is "long non-coding RNA (GBAR_LNC005464)". The record is from RNAcentral. Lineage: Eukaryota; Viridiplantae; Streptophyta; Magnoliopsida; Malvales; Malvaceae.